GGUGAGUAACGCGUGGGAAUCUACCUUUUGCUACGGAAUAACGCAGGGAAACUUGUGCUAAUACCGUAUGUGUCCUUCGGGAGAAAGAUUUAUCGGCAAGAGAUGAGCCCGCGUUGGAUUAGCUAGUUGGUGGGGUAAAGGCCUACCAAGGCGACGAUCCAUAGCUGGUCUGAGAGGAUGAUCAGCCACAUUGGGACUGAGACACGGCCCAAACUCCUACGGGAGGCAGCAGUGGGGAAUAUUGGACAAUGGGCGCAAGCCUGAUCCAGCCAUGCCGCGUGAGUGAUGAAGGCCCUACGGUUGUAAAGCUCUUUCACCGGAGAAGAUAAUGACGGUAUCCGG
This 342-nucleotide ribosomal RNA is filed under the name Rhizobium sp. ERR 380. RNAcentral's name for it is "bacterial SSU rRNA". It matches the Rfam family "Bacterial small subunit ribosomal RNA", at positions 105 to 482 of the family's 1533-position model. Lineage: Bacteria; Pseudomonadati; Pseudomonadota; Alphaproteobacteria; Hyphomicrobiales; Rhizobiaceae. The record is from RNAcentral.